CUGCAGCCCGAGUGGUGAUCGAUUUUAUUGAGCCUAAAGCGUCCGUAGCCGGACUAGUAAACCCUUGGGUAAAUUGGGCAGCUUAACUGUCCGAAUUCCGAGGGGACUGCUAGUCUUGGGACCGGGAGAGGUCAGAGGUACUCAAGGGGUAGGGGCUAAAUCCUGUAAUCCUUUGGGGACCACCAGUAGCGAAGGCGUCUGACUAGAACGGAUCCGACGGUAAGGGACGAAACCCUGGGGCGCGAACCGGAUUAGAUACCCGAGUAGUCC
Molecule: ribosomal RNA, 270 nt
Filed under: uncultured archaeon
Lineage: Archaea
Description: partial 16S ribosomal RNA
Rfam family: Archaeal small subunit ribosomal RNA
Source: RNAcentral